Molecule: ribosomal RNA, 497 nt
Filed under: uncultured bacterium
Lineage: Bacteria
Description: partial 16S ribosomal RNA
Rfam family: Bacterial small subunit ribosomal RNA
Source: RNAcentral
GAUGAACGCUGGCGGCGUGCCUAAUACAUGCAAGUCGAGCGAACGGACGAGAAGCUUGCUUCUCUGAUGUUAGCGGCGGACGGGUGAGUAACACGUGGAUAACCUCCCUAUAAGACUGGGAUAACUUCGGGAAACCGGAGCUAAUACCGGAUAAUAUUUUGAACCGCAUGGUUCAAAAGUGAAAGACGGUCUUGCUGGCACUUAUAGAUGGAUCCGCGCUGCAUUAGCUAGUUGGUAAGGUAACGGCUUACCAAGGCAACGAUGCAUAGCCGACCUGGGAGGGUGAUCGGCCACACUGGAACUGAGACACGGUCCAGACUCCUACGGGAGGCAGCAGUAGGGAAUCUUCCGCGAUGGGCGAAAGCCUGACGGAGCAACGCCGCGUGAGUGAUGAAGGUCUUCGGAUCGUAAAACUCUGUUAUUAGGGAAGAACAUAUGUGUAAGUAACUGUGCACAUCUUGACGGUACCUAAUCAGAAAGCCACGGCUAACUACGUG